UAGUCCACGCCGUAAACGAUGAGUGCUAAUUCUGGGGAUUUUUCUCUGGGGUAAAGCUAACGCGUUAAGCACUCCGCCUGGGUAGUACGAUCGCAAGAUUAAAACUUAAAGGAAUUGACGGGGGCCCGUACAAGCGGUGGAGCAUGUGGUUUAAUUCGAUGAUAACCGAAAAACCUUACCAGCCCUUGACAUAUACAUUGGGGUUACACGAAAGUGGACUUUCAUUUAGUUGGGUGUAUACAGGUGUUGCAUGGCUGUCGUCAGCUCGUGUCGUGAGAUGUUGGGUUAAGUCCCUUAACGAGCGCAACCCUUGCCACUAUUUGCCAGCGAGUUAUGUCGGGGACUAUAGUGGGACUGCUAUCGAAAGGUAGAGGAAGGAAAGGAUGAUGUCAAGUCAUCAUGGCCCUUAUGGGCUGGGCUACACACGUGCUACAAUGGACAAUACAAUGUGUUGCAAUAUAGUAAUAUGGAGCUAAUCACAAAAAUUGUUCUCAGUUCGGAUUGAGGCUUGCAA
Molecule: ribosomal RNA, 514 nt
Filed under: uncultured bacterium
Lineage: Bacteria
Description: bacterial SSU rRNA
Rfam family: Bacterial small subunit ribosomal RNA
Source: RNAcentral